GACGAACGCUGGCGGCGUGCCUAAUACAUGCAAGUAGAACGCACAGUUUAUACCGUAGCUUGCUACACCAUAAACUGUGAGUUGCGAACGGGUGAGUAACGCGUAGGUAACCUGCCUGGUAGCGGGGGAUAACUAUUGGAAACGAUAGCUAAUACCGCAUAAUAUUGAUUAUUGCAUGAUAAUUGAUUGAAAGAUGCUAUUGCAUCACUACCAGAUGGACCUGCGUUGUAUUAGCUAGUAGGUGAGGUAACGGCUCACCUAGGCGACGAUACAUAGCCGACCUGAGAGGGUGAUCGGCCACACUGGGACUGAGACACGGCCCAGACUCCUACGGGAGGCAGCAGUAGGGAAUCUUCGGCAAUGGACGAAAGUCUGACCGAGCAACGCCGCGUGAGUGAAGAAGGUUUUCGGAUCGUAAAGCUCUGUUGUAAGAGAAGAACGGGUGUGAGAGUGGAAAGUUCGCACUGUGACGGUAGCUUACCAGAAAGGGACGGCUAACUACGUG
RNAcentral lists this ribosomal RNA (505 nucleotides) under uncultured bacterium. RNAcentral describes it as "partial 16S ribosomal RNA". It matches the Rfam family "Bacterial small subunit ribosomal RNA", at positions 28 to 507 of the family's 1533-position model. The record is from RNAcentral.